Long non-coding RNA from Vidua macroura (Pin-tailed whydah), 329 nucleotides. RefSeq lists it as uncharacterized. The record is from RefSeq and is a predicted model, not a curated record. Lineage: Eukaryota; Metazoa; Chordata; Aves; Passeriformes; Viduidae. The transcript is spliced from 3 exons.
CAAGGCAUGGUUUGGGCCAGACAAUAACAGGAAUGUCCCCAGAAAAAAGAGAGGAUUCAAUAAAUGGGGAUUUUAGUGGAUUUCAUCCCCAGCUCUUGGAUCCCCUUUCCCACAGCCUGAGGGCACAAAGAUUUGUUUCAGCACGAUUUGAGGAGCAAAGAUUCCCAGACUGAACAGAUUUGCUGUUAUUCCUUGUGGCAGGAUGAGGGCUGCCCACGUGAGGUGGUUUGGAUGGCUGGAAAACCCUGGAAAUGCCCCAGGAGCAGAAGUGCAGGAGGACAAGGAGGGUUCUCAGCCCCAAAUGCUCGGCCCAGGCCGAGGGCACUGCA